UGCCAGUGAUGCAUUUCUAAUGCACGUAUUAUCAGAUACAGAUAUAUGAUGAUACGCAUAAUUGUCACUACCUCUGAGGCA
Non-coding RNA from Morus notabilis, 81 nucleotides. Lineage: Eukaryota; Viridiplantae; Streptophyta; Magnoliopsida; Rosales; Moraceae. The record is from Rfam.